GGAAGGACGAGGCGGUCGCGG
RNAcentral lists this unclassified non-coding RNA (21 nucleotides) under Chlamydomonas reinhardtii. RNAcentral's name for it is "small RNA Cre_1814". Lineage: Eukaryota; Viridiplantae; Chlorophyta; Chlorophyceae; Chlamydomonadales; Chlamydomonadaceae. The record is from RNAcentral.